This 73-nucleotide transfer RNA is filed under the name Jatropha curcas. It matches the Rfam family "tRNA". From Rfam's summary of the family: Transfer RNA (tRNA) molecules are approximately 80 nucleotides in length. Their secondary structure includes four short double-helical elements and three loops (D, anti-codon, and T loops). Lineage: Eukaryota; Viridiplantae; Streptophyta; Magnoliopsida; Malpighiales; Euphorbiaceae. The record is from Rfam by way of RNAcentral.
UCCGUUGUAGUCUAGUUGGUCAGGAUAUUCGGCUCUCACCCGAAAAACCCGGGUUCAAGUCCCGGCAACGGAA